This 253-nucleotide ribosomal RNA is filed under the name uncultured bacterium. RNAcentral describes it as "partial 16S ribosomal RNA". It matches the Rfam family "Bacterial small subunit ribosomal RNA", at positions 524 to 776 of the family's 1533-position model. The record is from RNAcentral.
UACGGGGGGGGCAAGCGUUGUUCGGAAUUACUGGGCGUAAAGGGCUCGUAGGUGGCCAACUAAGUCAGACGUGAAAUCCUUCGGCUUAACCGGGGAACUGCGUCUGAUACUGGAUGGCUUGAGAUUGGGAGUGGGAUGCGGAAUUCCAGGUGUAGCGGUGAAAUGCGUAGAUAUCUGGAGGAACACCGGUGGCGAAGGCGGCAUCCUGGACCAACACUGACACUGAGGAGCGAAAGCCAGGGGAGCAAACGGG